AGUUCGUUCAUUUCCGCUUUCUGGAUUGUGUAUGCUGCCAAAAGCCCUUUUACCUUUACUUUGCCGCAUUCCCUACAACGCGGUCUGGCUAAAGGAGGUCGAAAUACGUAGCUUGAAUAAAGUGUAUUUGUCUAUUCAGGAAAAGAAUAUUCUCUGUUCAACCGAUUCUUCAGCAAAUAGCAUACCGCCAAACUGUGGAUCACGAUGUUAGAAAAUCAUUUGAUAAGCUGCGGAGUUGGGUGUAAUCGACACACUAACCUGCAUAAGGAAACAAGUCAAAUAUGCGACGAAAAAUCGGCGGAACAUAAGCACAGAAGCGGCAGCUGAACAAAUGGUAAAGCUGAAAAUGCAUUUGUACGGAUACUCUGGCUAGAUGGAGAAGCAACAUGAUUAGACUGCAAAACUGUUCCCCACCUGUCGUCCAUCUUCAAUCAGUUCAGCAACAUCAACCGCAGAUGAGAUAAUGUUUUAUUUUUCCUUUCAGUUAGCUGACAGUGCUUCUGCACGGAUUCUCUUGCUAGAUGGAGCUAUUAAUCAUCAAUCAGUUCAGCCUCAAAAUCAACCACAGUGGAGCUAAUGCUGACAGUGCUUCUGCACGGAUACUCUGGCUAGAUGGAGAAGCAAGCUGAUUAAACAGCAAAACUGGUCCUCAAUCAAUUGUGAAAGAGCUGCAAAUGAGGACAUUGAGAGCAACAUAAACGACUUCUGGUGCUAUUCGUUGGGUAACUGAAUAAAGUAAAGAUGUAAACAAUAAUCUAACGCUUGAGGUGUUUUAAAUAAAUAAAAUAGAAGAGAGAUAUAAUGAUUUUGUUUUAUUGAAUUUUGUUUAAUCGAAGUAAGAAGUCUGUAAAACCUUGGAAGCAAAUAAUACUUGUGAAUAUCGUUGAAUUUUUACUGAAAGAAAUUUUUUAUUGUUUAGAAGAUAGGGUAAGGCGCAAUUUCCUAAAGGUGUGUUAGCAUAGAAGAUAGCGUUCCAAUGCAGUCCUUCCUAUUUAGUUCUUCGGGAGCUUUAAGGACAUAAUUUAAAACAUCAUCGUCUAUAAGUCUUUCCAAUAUCCAGUUCACUGGCACUCACGGCCGAAACCGUCGCAGCUUUGUUCUCUUUCUUUCUGUAGGGUUUCGCUAACGAAAGUGAGCGGAUAGAUUGGAACUCGAAGCGGAACAACCCGGUAAAACCUAGCCUAACAAAC
Molecule: long non-coding RNA, 1190 nt
Organism: Anopheles funestus (African malaria mosquito)
Lineage: Eukaryota; Metazoa; Arthropoda; Insecta; Diptera; Culicidae
Exons: 7
Source: RefSeq, a predicted model, not a curated record